RNAcentral lists this ribosomal RNA (301 nucleotides) under uncultured bacterium. RNAcentral describes it as "partial 16S ribosomal RNA". It matches the Rfam family "Bacterial small subunit ribosomal RNA", at positions 509 to 807 of the family's 1533-position model. The record is from RNAcentral.
CAGCAGCCGCGGUAAAACGAAGGGGGCUAGCGUUGUUCGGAUUUACUGGGCGUAAAGGGCGCGUAGGCGGACUGAUAAGUCAGGGGUGAAAUCCCAAGGCUCAACCUUGGAACUGCCUUUGAUACUGUUUGUCUUGAGUUCGAGAGAGGUAAGUGGAACUGCGAGUGUAGAGGUGAAAUUCGUAGAUAUUCGCAAGAACACCAGUGGCGAAGGCGGCUUACUGGCUCGAAACUGACGCUGAGGCGCGAAAGCGUGGGGAGCAAACAGGAUUAGAGACCCCAGUAGUCCCUGUCUCUUAUAC